This 271-nucleotide ribosomal RNA is filed under the name uncultured bacterium. RNAcentral describes it as "partial 16S ribosomal RNA". It matches the Rfam family "Bacterial small subunit ribosomal RNA", at positions 524 to 794 of the family's 1533-position model. The record is from RNAcentral.
UACAGAGGGUGCGAGCGUUAAUCGGAAUUACUGGGCGUAAAGGGUGCGUAGGUGGCUACGUAAGUUAGGUGUGAAAUUCCUGGGCUUAACCUGGGGACUGCGCCUGAUACUGCGAGGCUAGAGUACUGUAGAGGAAGGUGGAAUUUCCAGUGUAGCGGUGAAAUGCGUAGAUAUUGGAAGGAACAUCGGUGGCGAAGGCGACCUUCUGGACAGAUACUGACACUGAGGUGCGAAAGCGUGGGGAGCAAACAGGAUUAGAAACCCCAGUAGU